AGUGAACGCUGGCGGUAGGCCUAACACAUGCAAGUCGAACGGCAGCACAGGAGAGCUUGCUCUCUAGGUGGCGAGUGGCGGACGGGUGAGGAAUACAUCGGAAUCUGCCCAGUCGUGGGGGAUAACGUAGGGAAACUUACGCUAAUACCGCAUACGACCUUCGGGUGAAAGAGGGGGAUCGCAAGACCUCUCGCGAUUGGAUGAGCCGAUGUCGGAUUAGCUAGUUAGCGGGGUAAUGGCCCACCAAGGCGACGAUCCGUAGCCGGUCUGAGAGGAUGAUCAGCCACACUGGAACUGAGACACGGUCCAGACUCCUACGGGAGGCAGCAGUGGGGAAUAUUGGACAAUGGGCGCAAGCCUGAUCCAGCCAUACCGCGUGGGUGAAGAAGGCCUUCGGGUUGUAAAGCCCUUUUGUUGGGAAAGAAAUCUUUCAGGCUAAUACCCUGGGAGGAUGACGGUACCCAAAGAAUAAGCACCGGCUAACUUCGUG
This 490-nucleotide ribosomal RNA is filed under the name uncultured bacterium. RNAcentral describes it as "partial 16S ribosomal RNA". It matches the Rfam family "Bacterial small subunit ribosomal RNA", at positions 29 to 507 of the family's 1533-position model. The record is from RNAcentral.